Molecule: ribosomal RNA, 512 nt
Filed under: uncultured bacterium
Lineage: Bacteria
Description: bacterial SSU rRNA
Rfam family: Bacterial small subunit ribosomal RNA
Source: RNAcentral
GAUCCUGGCUCAGGAUGAACGCUAGCUACAGGCUUAACACAUGCAAGUCGAGGGGCAGCAUUGGAGUAGCAAUACUCAGAUGGCGACCGGCGCACGGGUGAGUAACACGUAUCCAACCUGCCGCUUACUCGGGGAUAGCCUUUCGAAAGAAAGAUUAAUACCCGAUGGUAUAAAGAGUUCGCAUGUUCUCUUUAUUAAAGAAUUUCGGUAAGCGAUGGGGAUGCGUUCCAUUAGAUAGUUGGCGGGGUAACGGCCCACCAAGUCUACGAUGGAUAGGGGUUCUGAGAGGAAGGUCCCCCACAUUGGAACUGAGACACGGUCCAAACUCCUACGGGAGGCAGCAGUGAGGAAUAUUGGUCAAUGGACGAGAGUCUGAACCAGCCAAGGUAAGCGUGAAGGAUGACUGCCCUAUGGGUUGUAAACUUCUUUUAUAAGGGAAUAAAGUGAGGGACGUGUCCCUUUUUGUAUGUACCUUAUGAAUAAGGAUCGGCUAACUCCGUGCCAGCCGCGGC